ACUGCAUCAACCAUACUGGGAAUACUCUCCUGGUAUUGCUGCAGUCCCCUCCUCCACCCACAGUGAAUUCCAUCUAAAAGAAAGCAGGCUUACAUUGGUGCUGUGCCUACAACUGGUGUGAAAUGGAGGAAAACAACCCAGGAACACUCUUGUCUUAGACUUUUGUUAUAUAGGAGGUUGGAAAUUUUCAACCCCUCAUCUUUGACCAUUUUAUCUAGAGUUUCCAUCCUCUUUCUGCAGGAAGCGUUUUUUGAAAAAUGCCUCUUUUUAUAAUGGAAAGGUCAAAAACCUGAAAAAAACCUGUGACUGCCAAAAACUAUAGAACUGUGAGUCAUCAGUGACUUUCUAAAAUAGCCACACACAUAGAAAACUCCUGCACAUGCAUUCCAGAGAGUUUUAAAGUUCAAAGUUUUUGAAGACCUGAGCCUUGGACUGUGUGCCUUCAGAGACAUAGCAAAAAAACCAAUGCAAGAGUAGAGGAGGUAGAUACCAGCAGAGGGGGCUAGUGGCUCUCCCAAAAGGAAAUUCGGAGAUCAGAGGGCUUCCAACAGCAACAAAGGAUCACUCAACCCUGCUCAAAUCAUUCUUGAACUGAGUCAUGUAUUUCUGAUCCAGUAGAAGCUGGAAGAAGAUUCCUAAAAUGAUGGGACAUUUCAUCAUGUGGAAGUCAACAGUCCUGCAAUGGCAUCAAACAUCCUUCUUAUAGAUCACCACAGAACUGGAGAAGACUUGGGAAGUCUAUGUUCCACCUCAAGCCACUUUCACAGUAUUGCAUUGUUUGCUAAAGCUUAGGUCAGAGUCCCACAUGGGAACACUUCACAGGCAUUAAAUAAUUAGUGCAAGAGAGAAUAUAAAUUAUAUUCUCAGCAGGCAUGAAAACAAACCUUCUGGACUGGUCUGAUCAAAAGUGAUAGACUUGCUUAAUAUAAAGCCCAUGAGGCAUGGCCAUUCAAUUUUUACCUAGACCCACUUCUACUCCACUGAAAGCAGAAUGAUGGGUCCUGCACUUGCUGGAAAUCAUGGUGGUAUGCUUCAGUUUCUCUUCUAAGGUUCAGCUCACCGUCACAGGAAACUGGAAAGAUGGUAUGAAAUACAAGCUGCCCUGCUGGGAUGUGGGAGGUUUCAAGGCAAAAUGUACUCAUGGUCCAGAUCUAGUCUAGAAUUUGCCAUUUGAGUAAUUCUGCUAUGAAACAUCUAAUUAAACAGCUGAGUGUAGAGGAUGGCAGGAACAGGGAGACACUCGCAGACAUGUGUAGGAACCUAGAAGUUCCUGUAAGAAAUUUGGGCUGGAGAGCAAAGACUUCAGCCUUGAAGGACUCCAGAUAACAUACAGGAGGAUACGCUGCAGAAGCCUCAUUACCCUUGAUUGGUGCUGUGGAAGAAAGAUUGCAAACACACUUUCAACCAUUCCCACCAUCAUUCUGGACAGACAUAAACAAAGAGACACAGAAUACCAUGUUCUGAAUAGCCCUGCCUCGGAGCAACUUCUGCAGACAGAUCACUGCCAGUUCUGUUUCCUCUUCCUCCUGCCAAAACACAACAAAUAUCCACACAAUAAUCAAUUAUUUCUUUGGAGACUGAGAUUUGUAUAGAUUAUCCAUCUAACUAUUAAAAAGUCUAACUCACAUCCAGCUUUUUCUCAGUUGUUUCUGAAUACCAUUCUUCUAAUUUCUAGGG
Molecule: long non-coding RNA, 1677 nt
Organism: Aquila chrysaetos chrysaetos
Lineage: Eukaryota; Metazoa; Chordata; Aves; Accipitriformes; Accipitridae
Exons: 3
Source: RefSeq, a predicted model, not a curated record